This 326-nucleotide ribosomal RNA is filed under the name uncultured eukaryote. Its description in RNAcentral is "partial 18S ribosomal RNA". It matches the Rfam family "Eukaryotic small subunit ribosomal RNA", at positions 1470 to 1796 of the family's 1831-position model. The record is from RNAcentral.
CCCUUAGAUGUUCUGGGCCGCACGCGCGCUACACUGAUGCAUUCAACGAGUCCAACCUUGACCGAGAGGUCCGGGUAAUCUUUGAAACUGCAUCGUGAUGGGGCUAGAUUAUUGCAAUUAUUAAUCUUCAACGAGGAAUGCCUAGUAAGCGUGAUUCAUCAAAUCGCGUUGAUUACGUCCCUGCCCUUUGUACACACCGCCCGUCGCUCCUACCGAUUGAGUGUGUUGGUGAGGAGUUUGGAUUGGCUUCGGAAGGUGGUUCGCCACCGUCCGUAGCUGAGAAGUUCUCCAAACCGCCCCACUUAGAGGAAGGAGAAGUCGUANCA